CCGGCGACCGGCGCACGGGUGAGUAACACGUAUGCAACCUGCCCGUGGCAGGGGGAUAAGCGGGGGAAACCCCGUCUAAUACCGCGUAACGCGGCCUAGGGACAUCCCAAGGCCGCCAAAGGGAGCAAUCCCGGCCACGGAUGGGCAUGCGGCGCAUUAGCUAGUCGGCGGGGUAACGGCCCACCGAGGCGACGAUGCGUAGGGGUUCUGAGAGGAAGGCCCCCCACACUGGUACUGAGACAUGGACCAGACUCCUACGGAAGGCAGCAG
Molecule: ribosomal RNA, 270 nt
Filed under: uncultured bacterium
Lineage: Bacteria
Description: partial 16S ribosomal RNA
Rfam family: Bacterial small subunit ribosomal RNA
Source: RNAcentral